GAGCCCGUGGCUCAAUGGUUGAGCGUAAGACUCAAAUUCAAAAGGUCGUGGGUUCGAAUCCCAUGUGGUCCA
This 72-nucleotide transfer RNA is filed under the name Schistocephalus solidus. It matches the Rfam family "tRNA". Rfam says of the family: Transfer RNA (tRNA) molecules are approximately 80 nucleotides in length. Their secondary structure includes four short double-helical elements and three loops (D, anti-codon, and T loops). Further hydrogen bonds mediate the characteristic L-shaped molecular structure. tRNAs have two regions of fundamental functional importance: the anti-codon, which is responsible for specific mRNA codon recognition, and the 3' end, to which the tRNAs corresponding amino acid is attached (by aminoacyl-tRNA synthetases). tRNAs cope with the degeneracy of the genetic code in two manners: having more than one tRNA (with a specific anti-codon) for a particular amino acid; and 'wobble' base-pairing, i.e. permitting non-standard base-pairing at the 3rd anti-codon position. Lineage: Eukaryota; Metazoa; Platyhelminthes; Cestoda; Diphyllobothriidea; Diphyllobothriidae. The record is from Rfam by way of RNAcentral.